RNAcentral lists this long non-coding RNA (238 nucleotides) under Capsicum annuum. RNAcentral's name for it is "long non-coding RNA (CANN_LNC014318)". The record is from RNAcentral. Lineage: Eukaryota; Viridiplantae; Streptophyta; Magnoliopsida; Solanales; Solanaceae.
GUACUCUUAGUCAGUCCUUAGAUCUCAGUAGCAUUCCGUUGGUCAAUGAAACUCAGUAAAUUCAAUUUUAGCUCUGUUAAACAAUACCAUCAAUUAAUUAGUUUAGUUUAUUUAAAUCAGUUUAAUUUAGUUAAUUAGUUCCAUGUCUAUUUAGUUGGGAGUAGGAUUCAGCACAGAGUGAACCCAAGAAUGGGGACUCACUUAUUAUUCAGUGGAGGGUGUAAUCCUUAAAAACAAU